Long non-coding RNA from Phyllostomus discolor (pale spear-nosed bat), 213 nucleotides. RefSeq lists it as uncharacterized. The transcript is spliced from 3 exons. The record is from RefSeq and is a predicted model, not a curated record. NCBI's taxonomy places the organism in Eukaryota, Metazoa, Chordata, Mammalia, Chiroptera, Phyllostomidae.
AUUCGGAUGAUUUAGAGGGCUUUCAGGGAUGAUGAAAUGAGUGCAGAGCAAAUAAAAGUGUGGCACAAAUGCUUCAAAGAUGGUCGAGAAUCUGUUGAAAGUGAUCCACAUUCUGGAAGGUCUGCAACAAACAGAACAUCUGCGAAUGUUGAAACUGUACAGGCUGCAACCAACAAAGAUGAGCAACUGACAGUAAGAACUAGAAGUUGAUCA